AGAGUUUGAUCCUGGCUCAGAUUGAACGCUGGCGGAAUGCUUUACACAUGCAAGUCGAACGGCAGCACGGGAGCUUGCUCCUGGUGGCGAGUGGCGAACGGGUGAGUAACGCGUCGGAACGUACCGAGUAAUGGGGGAUAACGCAGCGAAAGUUGUGCUAAUACCGCAUACGCCCUGAGGGGGAAAGUGGGGGAUCGCAAGACCUCACGUUAUUCGAGCGGCCGACGUCUGAUUAGCUUGUUGGUGGGGUAAUGGCCUACCAAGGCGACGAUCAGUAGCGGGUCUGAGAGGAUGAUCCGCCACACUGGAACUGAGACACGGUCCAGACUCCUACGGGAGGCAGCAGUGGGGAAUUUUGGACAAUGGGGGCAACCCUGAUCCAGCCAUUCCGCGUGAGUGAAGAAGGCCUUCGGGUUGUAAAGCUCUUUCAGCCGGAACGAAACGGUAUGUCUUAAUACGAUGUGCUAAUGACGGUACCGGCAGAAGAAGCACCGGCUAACUACGUGCCAGCAGCCGCGGU
RNAcentral lists this ribosomal RNA (520 nucleotides) under uncultured Thiobacillus sp. RNAcentral's name for it is "bacterial SSU rRNA". It matches the Rfam family "Bacterial small subunit ribosomal RNA", at positions 8 to 521 of the family's 1533-position model. The record is from RNAcentral. Lineage: Bacteria; Pseudomonadati; Pseudomonadota; Betaproteobacteria; Nitrosomonadales; Thiobacillaceae.